GCCAGACUCCUACGGGAGGCAGCAGUGGGGAAUAUUGGGCAAUGGGCGCAAGCCUGACCCAGCAACGCCGCGUGAAGGAAGAAGGCCCUCGGGUUGUAAACUUCUUUUAUCAAGGACGAAACAAAUGACGGUAUUUGAUGAAUAAGCCACGGCUAACUACGUGCCAGCAGCCGCGGUAAUACGUAGGUGGCAAGCGUUAUCCGGAUUUACUGGGUGUAAAGGGCGUGUAGCCGGGCUGACAAGUCAGAUGUGAAAUCCGGGGGCUCAACCCCCGAACUGCAUUUGAAACUGUUGGUCUUGAGUAUCGGAGAGGCAGGCGGAAUUCCUAGUGUAGCGGUGAAAUGCGUAGAUAUUAGGAGGAACACCAGUGGCGAAGGCGGCCUGCUGGACGACAACUGACGGUGAGGCGCGAAAGCGUGGGGAGCAAACAGGAUUAGAUACCCGAGUAC
This 449-nucleotide ribosomal RNA is filed under the name uncultured bacterium. Its description in RNAcentral is "bacterial SSU rRNA". It matches the Rfam family "Bacterial small subunit ribosomal RNA", at positions 330 to 793 of the family's 1533-position model. The record is from RNAcentral.